Molecule: ribosomal RNA, 301 nt
Filed under: uncultured bacterium
Lineage: Bacteria
Description: partial 16S ribosomal RNA
Rfam family: Bacterial small subunit ribosomal RNA
Source: RNAcentral
CAGCAGCCGCGGUAAUACGUAGGGUGCAAGCGUUAAUCGGAAUUACUGGGCGUAAAGCGUGCGCAGGCGGUUAUAUAAGUCAGAUGUGAAAUCCCCGGGCUUAACCUGGGAACUGCAUUUGUGACUGGCGAGCUAGAGUAUGGCAGAGGGGGGUAGAAUUCCACGUGUAGCAGUGAAAUGCGUAGAGAUGUGGAGGAAUACCGAUGGCGAAGGCAGCCCCCUGGGCCAAUACUGACGCUCAUGCACGAAAGCGUGGGGAGCAAACAGGAUUAGAUACCCGGGUAGUCCCUGUCUCUUAUAC